UGAUACAGGAUUUAGUAUGAUAGGAAAGUACCCAAACGACAGCAAUAUGGACUAUACCUGUUUUUGUUCAGGAAUAUACUUUUAUUUUUAUGAUAAAUCUCCUCCUAGUUGGACCUUUUCAUAGUAUAAUUGAGACGAUGUGUUUUACAGGGACAUUUUUACUGCAUCUACUAAUUCAGUAGAGAGACACAAGGCUAGAAUAAAGGCUGUUAGAAGGCCUGCGCUGCAUGUGGUUUGUGCUAUGACUGAAUUCCUUUCUCCCUACAGUUUCCAUGCUGAUCCAGGUUAUGUGGUAGGAGAGAGAUGACUCUUACUGAGAAGCCAGUUUUGAAAUGGUCAGCCACAGCAAAGUAUGAUAGUCCC
Dermochelys coriacea (leatherback sea turtle) is the source of this 363-nucleotide long non-coding RNA. RefSeq lists it as uncharacterized. Lineage: Eukaryota; Metazoa; Chordata; Testudines; Dermochelyidae. The transcript is spliced from 2 exons. The record is from RefSeq and is a predicted model, not a curated record.